CAGUCGCCACGGUAAUACGAAGGGUGCAAGCGUUACUCGGAAUUACUGGGCGUAAAGCGUGCGUAGGUGGUGGUUUAAGUCCGUUGUGAAAGCCCUGGGCUCAACCUGGGAAUUGCAGUGGAUACUGGGUCACUAGAGUGUGGUAGAGGAUAGUGGAAUUUCCGGUGUAGCAGUGAAAUGCGUAGAGAUCGGAAGGAACAUCUGUGGCGAAGGCGACUAUCUGGGCCAACACUGACACUGAGGCACGAAAGCGUGCGGAGCAAACAGGAUUAGAUACCCCCGUAGUCCCUGUCUCUUAUCC
Molecule: ribosomal RNA, 301 nt
Filed under: uncultured bacterium
Lineage: Bacteria
Description: partial 16S ribosomal RNA
Rfam family: Bacterial small subunit ribosomal RNA
Source: RNAcentral